AUUGAACGCUGGCGGCAGGCCUAACACAUGCAAGUCGAGCGAGCGGCGGACGGGUGAGUAAUGUCUGGGAAACUGCCUGAUGGAGGGGGAUAACUACUGGAAACGGUAGCUAAUACCGCAUACCAUCAGAUGUGCCCAGAUGGGAUUAGCUAGUAGGUGGGGUAAUGGCUCACCUAGGCGACGAUCCCUAGCUGGUCUGAGAGGAUGACCAGCCACACUGGAACGGAGACACGGUCCAGACUCCUACGGUAGGCAGCAGUGGGGAAUAUUGCACAAUGGGCGCAAGCCUGAUGCAGCCGGGCCGCGUGUGAUAAGAAGGCCUUCGGGUUGUAAAGCACUUUCAGCGGGGAGGCGUUACCCGCAGAAGAAGCACCGGCUAACUCCGUGCCAGCAGCCGCGGUAAUUC
This 406-nucleotide ribosomal RNA is filed under the name uncultured bacterium. Its description in RNAcentral is "partial 16S ribosomal RNA". It matches the Rfam family "Bacterial small subunit ribosomal RNA", at positions 30 to 526 of the family's 1533-position model. The record is from RNAcentral.